UGAUUUUGCUUCUUUCU
RNAcentral lists this microRNA (17 nucleotides) under Corchorus olitorius. RNAcentral's name for it is "hsa-miR-12". Lineage: Eukaryota; Viridiplantae; Streptophyta; Magnoliopsida; Malvales; Malvaceae. The record is from RNAcentral.